UUGGAGGGCAAGUCUGGUGCCAGCAGCCGCGGUAAUUCCAGCUCCAAUAGCGUAUAUUAAAGUUGUUGCAGUUAAAAAGCUCGUAGUUGAAUUUCGGGGUCAGCAGGUUGGUCGUGCCAAUGGUAUGCACUGGCCUUGCUGAUUCCUCCCUCUUGAUGAGCCGUAAUGUCAUUAAUUUGGUAUUGCGGGGAAUCAGGACUGUUACUUUGAAAAAAUUAGAGUGUUUAAAGCAGGCAAGCGCUUGGAUACAUUAGCAUGGAAUAAUGAAAUAGGACGUUUGAUCCUAUUUUGUUGGUUUCUAGGAUUGACGUAAUGAUUAAUAGGGAUAGUUGGGGGCAUUAGUAUUCAAUUGUCAGAGGUGAAAUUCUUGGAUUUAUUGAAGACUAACUACUGCGAAAGCAUUUGCCAAGGAUGUUUUCAUUAAUCAAGAACGAAAGUUAGGGGAUCGAAGACGAUCAGAUACCGUCGUAGUCUUAACCAUAAACUAUGCCGACUAGGGAUCGGAUGAUGUUAAUUUUUUAAUGACUCAUUCGGCACCUUACGGGAAAC
Molecule: ribosomal RNA, 549 nt
Filed under: uncultured Glomus
Lineage: Eukaryota; Fungi; Glomeromycota; Glomeromycetes; Glomerales; Glomeraceae
Description: SSU rRNA
Rfam family: Eukaryotic small subunit ribosomal RNA
Source: RNAcentral